GACGAACGCUGGCGGCGUGCCUAACACAUGCAAGUCGAACGGGGUUGAGGUCUUCGGACCUUAACUUAGUGGCGAACGGGUGAGUAACGCGUGAGAAACCUGCCUUUCAGUGGGGGACAACAGUUGGAAACGACUGCUAAUACCGCAUAAUGUACGGAGGGGCAUCCCUUCUGUACCAAAGAUUUUAUCGCUUUGAGAUGGGCUCACGUCUGAUUAGCUGGUUGGUGAGGUAACCGGCUCACCAAGGCUUCGAUCAGUAGCCGGACUGAGAGGUUGGCCGGCCACAUUGGGACUGAGACACGGCCCAGACUCCUACGGGAGGCAGCAGUGGGGAAUAUUGGGCAAUGGGCGCAAGCCUGACCCAGCAACGCCGCGUGAAGGCGACGGCCCUAUGGGUCUUAAACUUCUUUUGUGAGGGAGCAAUAAGUCUCACGUGUGGACGAUGAGAGUACCUCACGAAUAAGCAUCGGCUAACUCCGUG
Molecule: ribosomal RNA, 481 nt
Filed under: uncultured bacterium
Lineage: Bacteria
Description: bacterial SSU rRNA
Rfam family: Bacterial small subunit ribosomal RNA
Source: RNAcentral